UGGCAGGCUAGAGUCUUGUAGAGGGGGGUAGAAUUUCAGGUGUAGCGGUGAAAUGCGUAGAGAUCUGAAGGAAUACCAGUGGCGAAGGCGGCCCCCUGGACAAAGACUGACGCUCAGAUGCGAAAGCGUGGGUAGCAAACAGGAUUAGAUACCCUGGUAGUCCACGCCGUAAACGCUGUCUACUUGGAGGUUGAGGUUUUAGACUUUGGCUUUCGGCGCUAACGCAUUAAGUAGACCGCCUGGGGAGUACGGCCGCAAGGUUAAAACUCAAAUGAAUUGACGGGGGCCCGCACAAGCGGUGGAGCAUGUGGUUUAAUUCGAUGCAACGCGAAGAACCUUACCUACUCUUGACAUCCAGCGAAGCCUUUAGAGAUAGAGGUGUGCCUUCGGGAGCGCUGAGACAGGUGCUGCAUGGCUGUCGUCAGCUCGUGUUGUGAAAUGUUGGGUUAAGUCCCGCAACGAGCGCAACCCUUAUCCUUGUUUGCCAGCACGUAAUGGUGGGAACUCCAGGGAGACUGCCGGUGAUAAACCGGAGGAAGGUGGGGACGACGUCAAGUCAUCAUGGCCCUUACGAGUAGGGCUACACACGUGCUACAAUGGCAGAUACAGAGGGCAGCGAGACAGCGAUGUUUAGCGAAUCCCUUAAAGUUUGUCGUAGUCCGGAUUGGAGUCUGCAACUCGACUCCAUGAAGUCGGAAUCGCUAGUAAUCGUGGAUCAGAAUGCCACGGUGAAUACGUUCCCGGGCCUUGUACACACCGCCCGU
RNAcentral lists this ribosomal RNA (764 nucleotides) under uncultured bacterium. Its description in RNAcentral is "bacterial SSU rRNA". It matches the Rfam family "Bacterial small subunit ribosomal RNA", at positions 634 to 1397 of the family's 1533-position model. The record is from RNAcentral.